UGGGAUUUGGUUGAGUGGUAGAGUGUAUGUCUAGCAUGCAUGGGGCCCUGGGUUCAAUUCUCAGCAUUACAA
This 72-nucleotide transfer RNA is filed under the name Ictidomys tridecemlineatus (thirteen-lined ground squirrel). RNAcentral's name for it is "Spermophilus tridecemlineatus (thirteen-lined ground squirrel) tRNA". It matches the Rfam family "tRNA". Rfam says of the family: Transfer RNA (tRNA) molecules are approximately 80 nucleotides in length. Their secondary structure includes four short double-helical elements and three loops (D, anti-codon, and T loops). The record is from Rfam by way of RNAcentral. Lineage: Eukaryota; Metazoa; Chordata; Mammalia; Rodentia; Sciuridae.